Molecule: long non-coding RNA, 354 nt
Organism: Portunus trituberculatus (swimming crab)
Lineage: Eukaryota; Metazoa; Arthropoda; Malacostraca; Decapoda; Portunidae
Exons: 2
Source: RefSeq, a predicted model, not a curated record
UCCAGUUUUCGAAUCUUUCCUGAUACAUUUAUUUAUACACUAAAACCCAGUCAAGCUACUUAAUUCUGUAGAAAUUAUGAAUGAUUUAGCAUGGAGUAGAUGUACUAUAGUUUACAAAAAUCCGGCAUCCUUUUCAAUUCAAGGAGGGCAGUGAAGCGGGCCACAAGCUGAGGCCGCAGCGAAACGGGCUGCGGGCGGGCAGCACAUCAGUGUGCGGCUGGACGUUGUGGGAGUAACUGGCAGGUCAUGCGGCGCUCUGUCAUCCUCUUGGCUCUUUUGUGCGGGGCAGUGGUGGUGAGCCUUGCUGCCAAGUCACAGAGCUAUGUGGAGAGUGUCUCAGAUCCAAAAGUAAGG